Molecule: long non-coding RNA, 3220 nt
Organism: Bubalus bubalis (water buffalo)
Lineage: Eukaryota; Metazoa; Chordata; Mammalia; Artiodactyla; Bovidae
Exons: 4
Source: RefSeq, a predicted model, not a curated record
GGGAUCUGGACCCCUGGGCUCGAGGGACCCAUCACUGCGAGACGAGUGCUCCUGGGUGAGUGAAGGAGGGGAUCUUGUUCGUACCCAGGUACCCACUUCCACCCCCUGCUGAUCUUAACGGAGGCGAAGAUCUCCGGACACUUGGAAACCCCAGGAUCUCGACCUCUGCGUCCUUCCCCUCUUGUCAGCCGAAAUGUAUUUUCCAAGUUCAUCAUUCAUAAUGUAUGACUGCCUAUUCAAGCCCGGCCCGACAAAAGCGUAAAAGCUAAACAAGCAACACCGAACAAUGGGCGAAUUACCUCUCAUUUUCCUCCCCUCUUUUCCUUAAACGUCGCAGUUUGAUUUACAAAGCACUUUCAUCUACAGUGGUUCGUUUCCUUUUCCAACAUCUGUGACUUAAAUGUUAUUAUCUCCACUUUGCAGAACUUGAAGCUAAGCCGCAGAGAUGGAUGUUAAGUAAAGGACCCCAUAUCGACGGUCUGGUUAGGACUAGAAAGCUGCGGGACUCCUACAGAUGGACUUUCCAGAUGGCUUGGCUGUAAAGAAUCUGCCUGCCAAGCAGGAGAGGCAGGUUCCAUCCCUGGGUUGAGAAGGUGUCCUCUGGAGGAGAGAAUGGCAACCCACUCCAGUAUUUUUGCCUGGAUAAUCCCAUGGACAGAGGAGCCUGGUAGGCUAUAGUCCAUGGGGUCACUGAGAGUAGGACAGGACUUGGCUACUGAACAACAACAAAUUCCUGCAAACGACUUUGAAUUCUCCAUUAGCAGAGUUAAGCAGCCCAGCCCAGCUCUCAGGAGGAAACACAUGGUGAUGGCUUGGCCUCUGGAGGUUUGUCUGCAGAAUCCCUGGACUUCACUUAUUUGGAGGAUCCUGAAGGACAAGUUGGUCUGGGCUGUGAUUCAUGGGUCUGACAGAAGUCUUAUUUUUUAAAAACCCUUUGGGACAGCCUUCCAUUCUUAGAAGCUGAGUCUCUGUCUAAGAAGUUUUUCUUUUACUGUUGAUUUUUAUUGGCAAUACUUUGAAACUGUGACAAUGCUACAUUUCCAAAACAUCCCUUGAAACGUAGAGGGUCUCUGGUAUGUUGCCCCAAGCCUUGGAUUUAACUGUGGAGUUAACCUAAGAGAAGAUGACAUCCUGCCAUGUGGCACGUACUGGAAAGAGGCCCCUCUGCUGUGGACAUUAGGAGAUCUCUGCCUAUCACCUCAGUGGCCUCGGGACACUUGCUUGCUGUCUUGGAGCUCUUUCUCUGUGUAUAGCCCACCAACCAGGUGGCGGUGAGGGGAACUGCAAACCCAUGUGUAAGCUUCCCUGGAAAGUGCAGAACAUUGUACAAGGGUCCACUGUCCUUUACUGCCUCCCGUCCAAUGUUUGGAGAACCAUUGUUUCAUCUCUUUUGCCUGUUUUGUGGUUGCUCCAGAUGGAAGGAAUUAACUGAAGAUAUGCAUUCUGAAGGUAUGGAAGUACCUCUCAAACUACUGUGAUCAUCCUGUCCCCAAGGUGAGUCUGUCCUCGUAUUGUCCACAAACGCUUCAUCCAGCAUAAUUCCAAGUGACGACAGGAAACAGGGGCUGCCGCCCCUCACGUAAACAGCUCUCCACUCUGAUGGGACUAAUCGAUUUGGGGGAGAUUAUCCUGCUGUGUGUGCCUUCCUCCCAAUAAAAUUGUGUGUUGCUCACUCUCUUUAAGGCCUGGCUUAAUCGAUGCUAUGAAUCCAAACCACAUUUCGAGCUCCUGUUAAGAAUCCAGUGCUUCUGAGUAUUAGCUUAGUGGCAAUCAGUUUAACCUCCCCAUCAUGGAUUCUGUUGUGAGAGGAGAUAUAAAUUAGGCUUUAGAUUGCUUAUUCUGAGUAGCUCAGGAGCAGAAUUUUCAUGAAAUCAUCUUGAAAAUCCAGAAGACUCUAUAUCAUGGCACCAUAAUCCAGUUUCUUCCUCAUUCACCCAUCUGACAUCUCCUGGGGGAAAAAAAAUGAGUAUUUUAGGCAGGAGACAAACUCAAGGGAAACAAGGGGUUUGGGGGUGAAAAUAGGGGGGCAGAAGAGAACUCUUGUUUUGGUGAAAUGGAUCCGCCCACUCGGUAUACCAACAUUCUCCAUCUGCUGGCUUCCUCUACUUUUCCACUCCAUUUGACUCCCCCACCUGCAAGGUCAGCUGCUCCAAGGAGCAAUUUAUAAACUUGCAGCUCAUAUUGUGGUUGCUGUUCCAGGACUGACAUGAAAUUAAAUCAGUCUUGAGUGCUGCAGGAUACAAAAGCUACCUUCCGAGUUUACGGAGCCCUCCACAACUCCUCAUAAAUCUUGGAAAGGUAGCAUUCCACCAGUAACUGCCCAGUUUCUCUGCUCACAAAAGGACCUUGAAAUGGAAACAACGGAGUUUUCUUUGAGGCCAUAUUUCAUACCACGGAGAGAAAGAUGUAUGUGGAAGCCACAUUCUUAAAUGCCCUUUUCCAACUCUAGGCGAGCACUGGGGAAGACAGUGUGAAAUAAACCCUUAACUUAUGCCUCCAUGUUCAAAAUUAUGGGGGCCACAGGAUAUGAAAACACCCACAAAAAAUCUGUCUGUACUCACAAAGCCUCUUUAUUGUUUUUCAAGAGCAGAAGGUAAGUUUUUAAAAAUGCAAUGAGCCUAGAAACAUGCCUUUGCUACAAAUGUUUCACCCCUCAAUGUCCAGAGACUCCAAAGCUUAUUACUGGGAGGCUCAUCAGUAGACUGAGAAGGAAGCAGAUGCUGUCACGUGGUCCUGUUGAAUCUACCCAAUGGUAACUCAUUCAUGUCUUUUUUAAUGUUUUAAAACUUAAACGAUGAAUCGAAUCUGCCUUAACAUUGUGGGACACAGUCUGUUACUAAGUCCUAUGCAAAGUGUCUUUUAGGCAUUAACAUUUAUUUUCCCCAAAGCUCUCUGAGCAGAGAUUAUUAUGAUCCCCUGUGAUGGUUAAUUUUAUGUGUCAGCUAGCUCAGCCACGGUACCCAGUUUUUGGCCAAACACCAGUUGAGAUGUCACUGUGAAGGUAUGUUUUAGUUGAGAUUAACACUUAAAUCCGUCGACUUUGAGUAACGCAGUUUACCUUCUGUAAUGUGAGUGAGCUCUUCUAAUCAGUUGAAGGGCUUAAAAAAUGACUACAUUCCCCCCAAGAAAGAGGGAAUUCUGCCUCCAGACUGCUUUUAGACUCAGGCUGCAGAAUCAGUCUUCCCUGAGCCUGAGCCCCAGGCCUGCAAAUUUCCCACUC